AUCCUACGGGAGGCAGCAGUGAGGAAUAUUGGUCAAUGGACGAGAGUCUGAACCAGCCAUGCCGCGUGAAGGAUGAAGGCGUUCUGCGUUGUAAACUUCUUUUAUCUGGGAAGAAACCUUCUUUUUCUAAGGAAGCCGACGGUACCAGAGGAAUAAGCACCGGCUAACUCCGUGCCAGCAGCCGCGGUAAUA
RNAcentral lists this ribosomal RNA (192 nucleotides) under uncultured bacterium. RNAcentral's name for it is "partial 16S ribosomal RNA". It matches the Rfam family "Bacterial small subunit ribosomal RNA", at positions 335 to 525 of the family's 1533-position model. The record is from RNAcentral.